AUGCUGAGUACAGUACAACUCGUCCGUAGUCGCGGAACCCCACGGUGGCCAUAAAUCUCUGACAUAAAAAAUGUGGUUUUACUGAGAGCCCAAUCACAAACGAACGGAGGCUUCGGAUUCAAUGCGCAAUACCUAUUAACUACGUGGUAUUAUGUGCGACAUUUUCCUGAUGCCGUUGGAGCUGAUCCUUCCUCGCGAACCCUUUGUGGUUUUUGCACCCAGGCAGCUCACACUUAUACAACUUUUGGUGCUUCUCCAGAUGCGACCUAGCAAUGCCAAUUUGUGUCAGGG
This 291-nucleotide small RNA is filed under the name Histoplasma capsulatum var. duboisii H88. Its description in RNAcentral is "Histoplasma capsulatum H88 hypothetical RNA". The record is from RNAcentral. Lineage: Eukaryota; Fungi; Ascomycota; Eurotiomycetes; Onygenales; Ajellomycetaceae.